UACUGAGCUUACAGCUGGAUAAAUGAGACUUGGAUUAUACUGCAGGAGCUGUGUGAGAGUUUGUAACCAGAUGUUUUCAUAUAGUUUUGUUGUUGUUAAACACGGUCGCCGUUUAGGCUACUUCAAUUCAUGAAGAGUGUUCACCUUUUUGGAUUCUUCGGUCACCGGGAAGGCCUGCAGGAAAACUUUCCCCCAGGAUUACAACAUAACAUGCAGUCUCUUACAGCAGGAGGCAGAGAAAUAUGCUGGUUUCAUACACUGCAUCGAUUUUGCCCUCGAACAAAGACAGACAGAGAGAGAUGGAGGCAGAGAGCGGAGGCGCGGAGGAGAGGAGGAGCGAGAGAAAUGAGAGAUGGAUGAAGAGCACUUGCCACAAUGAGCCUUUGGAGGUUUGAUGGCGGAGAAUGAUGGAUUCUCCUCGCAUUGGGGCUCAGCUCUCAAACAACCAUUAUCAUUACGAAUCCUGCUGACUUCAGGGCUCAUUUGGACAAAUGGAGAGGGCUUUUGAUAUUUGAGGGAAGCCAUGUAUAAGAAUGGUUAAUGGGCAAAACACAGCCUCUUUGUCCGGACCUCUCUCUCUCACCCACGCUCGCCUCUCCCAUCCUUCAUCCCGCUUCCAUUUCCUCAUUUUCCUCUCGUUUCUCCUCCUCCGCCCGGCUCUCUCCUUCUUGUGUCCUUGUCUCCUGUGUGCCACCGCUCCCCCACCAUGCCUCCCUCUACCUGCAGAGAGCCCCUCCCCCACCCCACUGUCUCCACUGCCACGCAGUCUCUCAAAUUAAUGUAGAGAUAUUGACAAGUGAUGGGCCUGGGAAGCACAGAUCAUCAGGAGGGAGAGGAGAGGAGGGCUGGGAUGUGGCCGGGCCAAAGGGAUCGAGGGGUUUCCCUAUCAUCCACCCAACACCAGCUCACUGUAUUUUUCUUCAAACCAGGAAUAUGUUAAGUUUGUACCCUUCUUAUGUUUAAUCUUUAUAUUUCAUAUGUAAUGGAUAUGUUGAAACUCUCCACAAACACAUCUGGAAAUGUCACUGGUAUUGAACAGUGCUCCGUUGUUUGGGAGCCUGCUUGGCAGCUGUCUCGUGGUUAACGUGUGAUUGGCUUUAGGCAUAAAAAUCACUUGGUUAGGGUUAAGAAAAGAUCUUGUUUUGGCUUAGAAUACCUAGUUUGAUACCACAUUCAAGGCUGGAAAUGUCCUGA
Long non-coding RNA from Epinephelus moara (kelp grouper), 1194 nucleotides. RefSeq lists it as uncharacterized. The transcript has 3 exons. The record is from RefSeq and is a predicted model, not a curated record. NCBI's taxonomy places the organism in Eukaryota, Metazoa, Chordata, Actinopteri, Perciformes, Serranidae.